AACGCCAGUUUGCGUGGAGCCGACCUUGAAAUACCACCCUUUAAUGUUUGAUGUUCUAACGUUGUCCCGUAAUCCGGGAUACGGACAGUGUCUGGUGGGUAGUUUGACUGGGGCGGUCUCCUCCUAAAGAGUAACGGAGGAGCACGAAGGUUAGCUAAGCAUGGUCGGACAUCAUGCGGUUAGUGCAAAGGCAGAAGCUAGCUUAACUGCGAGACGGACAGGUCGAGCAGAUACGAAAGUAGGUC
This 245-nucleotide ribosomal RNA is filed under the name Salmonella enterica subsp. enterica serovar Mississippi. RNAcentral's name for it is "partial 23S ribosomal RNA". It matches the Rfam family "Bacterial large subunit ribosomal RNA", at positions 2167 to 2411 of the family's 2925-position model. The record is from RNAcentral. Lineage: Bacteria; Pseudomonadati; Pseudomonadota; Gammaproteobacteria; Enterobacterales; Enterobacteriaceae.